Non-coding RNA from Ceratotherium simum simum (southern white rhinoceros), 1869 nucleotides. NCBI's taxonomy places the organism in Eukaryota, Metazoa, Chordata, Mammalia, Perissodactyla, Rhinocerotidae. The record is from RefSeq and is a predicted model, not a curated record.
GGACUAAAAUAACAUAUGUAAACCCCACACAGUAUAGUGCUUCAAGAGGUGGUGAAUAUUAAUAUGGUAUUUGUUAGCAGCAGAGCUCCAUAAUCUUUUGUGCAUGAAAUACAAAGAAAACAAGUAGCACUGGUAACAACACAUUUAUUUCCGUACCCUGUUGUGUGACCGGGAGGUGGUUUUCACUUUCCAAUGAUUGAAUUAGGUUAUAACAAUUAAAAUUCCAGAAGGUAAACUAAUAAUUUAUCGUUGCUCAUGAGCAUAAGUAAACAGACAAGGUACCACAUAAAGGAAUUUUCAACACUUCUAAACUUUUGGUAUAGCUUUGAAUAUGGAAGAGUAGACUUUGGUAAUGGACCUGACAAAUUACCAAUAUGCUUCUAAAUCCCAUGGUUCUCUUGACACCCAACAGGAAAAAUCUGGAUUUAAUUUCUGAAUUUCAGAAAUUUGACAAAGAUUCUUAGGAAGCUGGAAAAGGCCAACAUUACUUAAGCCUAUCAUAUUUAUCACGCAUCUAAAUGUAUUGCUAUUAAAAAUAAAAUCAUGGUAGGCAGCAGUCAACCAAUUGCUAGUUUCAUUUUGUAGAUUACUUCAGCAUUUCUUGAAAAUAACUCACUUCAGAUGGCAGGUUAUAGAAGUUUCUUAUUUUUAGGUAGUUUUAACUUAUUAACCUUUUGUGGACUAAAGGAAUCCAGAUAGAUCCCAAGUCAAAUAAUUGGCUGGUGUAUCAAAUUGGAUUUUAUAUUAGAAACAGCCAUGUCCAAGAGACUGCAUCAUACAAGACAUUUCUUUUCAAAAUGCCUUUUAUUCCUGGCUUCAAAUCUUAACUUACAGCAUAUGCUAUUUUUAGAGGGUUUGUUAACUGUUAACAAAUGGGUAGUCAUUGCCAGAGCAGGAUAUAAGAAUGUGCUGAUCACCAAGUAUGACAUUUUACUUUACAUUAAAUUAAAAUUAUAUAUUGUUGGAAAUAGACAAGAUAGGGAGUUCCUAGAUCCUAGAAAAUAUUAUGGCUAAGGAAAUAGAGAACUCAAAAAAGAACUCCACCUCCAAGAAACUAAUUCAGUAUAGCAAAAUAGAAUUAAGUGCCCUGUCUUAGGAAAAAGUUUAUUAAUAAUAAGGAAGAACCGGGACAUCAUACAUCGUUUCUUUGGAGAUUAAAGUGCAGGCUAUGCAAUGGCAUAUAAAAUAAUGCAUAAAAUAGUGCAAUCUUAAGGUGCCAUUAUUUUUAUUACACAUAGCCUAUGUUCAUAUGUCCAUUUCCUCUUAAAAAUCCCACUGUAGUGACACCUUUUAGCUUAUUUAUUUAGGCAUUACUUAUACUCUGUUUUACCCACCUUUGGGGCUACAUAGAAUAUUUUAACAUUUUAACAAGUAGAAUAAUAGCGCAUACAUCUUGAAACUACUAAGUAGAGAUUAAGGCAAGCCCCGGUAAAGUUCAGUACUCCAAAAAACACGUUUUACAAAACAAAGUUGCUUCCAAAACCAGUGGCUUUAGACCUGAUGGCACCCCAAUUGUUUUCAAAAUAGUAUGAUUACUCUCAAUACAUUUGUGUUUGCCCCAUUAUUUCCAGGCUCUGUACAUCAAGAGAAGCUUGAAAAACAAUAGGUCCUAUAACCUCAUGUUCUGAAGUAAUUCAUAUUUAUCAAAGCCAAGCCAAGUCCAUGUGGGAGAUAAGCAGAGGACCCUGUUGGGGUGAGGGGGGCAGUCCUCUUCAUUUCUUAUAUAUGCCUUUUCACAUUUUUAUCUGUGUCUGUAGUGUUGUACCAUAAUCAAUUUAUACGUGGGAAUGACCCAUUAAAACAGAGAAGUCUCCUCUGAAAGAGAGUCAAGGAAGAUGACGAGAAUACUUGAUGAAAUGUUGCUUUAGG